GGGCGGUUAGCUCAGCUGGCUAGAGCGCUUGCCUUACAAGCAAGAGGUCGCAGGUUCGAGUCCUGCACCGCCCA
RNAcentral lists this transfer RNA (74 nucleotides) under Thermoleophilaceae bacterium. Its description in RNAcentral is "tRNA-Val". It matches the Rfam family "tRNA". Rfam says of the family: Transfer RNA (tRNA) molecules are approximately 80 nucleotides in length. Their secondary structure includes four short double-helical elements and three loops (D, anti-codon, and T loops). Further hydrogen bonds mediate the characteristic L-shaped molecular structure. tRNAs have two regions of fundamental functional importance: the anti-codon, which is responsible for specific mRNA codon recognition, and the 3' end, to which the tRNAs corresponding amino acid is attached (by aminoacyl-tRNA synthetases). tRNAs cope with the degeneracy of the genetic code in two manners: having more than one tRNA (with a specific anti-codon) for a particular amino acid; and 'wobble' base-pairing, i.e. permitting non-standard base-pairing at the 3rd anti-codon position. Lineage: Bacteria; Bacillati; Actinomycetota; Thermoleophilia; Thermoleophilales; Thermoleophilaceae. The record is from RNAcentral.